GACGAACGCUGGCGGCGCGCUUAACACAUGCAAGUCGAGCGAAGCGGCGGACGGGCGAGCAACACGUGACUAACCUGCCUUAGACAUUGGCAUAGCCUCGGGAAACCGGGCUUAAUACCAAAUGGUCUAAGGUGGACUCGCGUCCCAUUAGCUAGUUGGUGGGUAACGGCCCACCAAGGCGACGAUGGGUAGCCGGCCUGGGAGGGUGAACGGCCACAUUGGAACUGAGAAACGGUCCAAACUCUACGGGAGGGAGCAGUGGGGAGUAUUGCACAAUGGAAAGAACUCUGAUGCAGCGAAGCCGCGUGAACGAAGAAGGCUUUCGAGUCGUAAAGUUGUUUUAUAUGGGAAGCGGUAGCAUAAGAAAGAGCCCCGGGUAACUACGUGCCAGCAGCCGCGGUAAUUC
RNAcentral lists this ribosomal RNA (406 nucleotides) under uncultured bacterium. RNAcentral describes it as "partial 16S ribosomal RNA". It matches the Rfam family "Bacterial small subunit ribosomal RNA", at positions 28 to 526 of the family's 1533-position model. The record is from RNAcentral.